Molecule: ribosomal RNA, 439 nt
Filed under: uncultured bacterium
Lineage: Bacteria
Description: bacterial SSU rRNA
Rfam family: Bacterial small subunit ribosomal RNA
Source: RNAcentral
UGAGGAAUAUUGGUCAAUGGACGGAAGUCUGAACCAGCCAAGUAGCGUGCAGGAUGACGGCCCUCUGGGUUGUAAACUGCUUUUAGUUGGGAAUAAAAAAGAGGACGUGUCCUCUAUUGUAUGUACCUUCAGAAAAAGGACCGGCUAAUUCCGUGCCAGCAGCCGCGGUAAUACGGAAGGUCCAGGCGUUAUCCGGAUUUAUUGGGUUUAAAGGGAGCGUAGGCGGAUUAUUAAGUCAGUGGUGAAAGACGGUGGCUCAACCAUCGUUAGCCAUUGAAACUGGUAGUCUUGAGUGCAGACAGGGAUGCUGGAACUCGUGGUGUAGCGGUGAAAUGCUUAGAUAUCACGAUGAACUCCGAUCGCGAAGGCAGGUGUCCGGGCUGCAACUGACGCUGAGGCUCGAAAGUGUGGGUAUCAAACAGGAUUAGAUACCCUGGUA